Molecule: long non-coding RNA, 597 nt
Organism: Salvia splendens (bonfire salvia)
Lineage: Eukaryota; Viridiplantae; Streptophyta; Magnoliopsida; Lamiales; Lamiaceae
Exons: 4
Source: RefSeq, a predicted model, not a curated record
CAGGUACCUCAUGAGUCCAGGUCUACUUGUAUAUUUGGGUCUGAUGCUGUUAAUACAUGCAAUGGUGUCUUCUGAAUGUAUUAGGUUAUUGGCAGCAAUUAUCAGAGAAAGUUGCUUGAAGUAAUUGAUGAAAGUGAACUACCGAAUUUCUUUUGGUGGUUGCUGUACCUGUGCAAUUGAAGGGGACUGCAUAAGGUCUGAUAAAGGACCAUGGAAUAACCAAAAUUUAUUGAAGAUGACUCCGGGUACAGAAGUGCAUCUUGUGCAGACAGCAUCAAUUUCAGAUAAUGAUGCAACUUAGUUGUCAUGGUUGAUAUUUUGUUGCGUCGUCGGAUGUAUCAUGCUGGGAAGUAUACAGUGACGAGCAACUGGAUGCACUGCGCUGGAAAAUCCGAGUGUCUUCCUGAUCACUUCGUUGCAAGUAAUAGACAUAUAUAUUGAUAGUUAGGAAUUUCCCUGAAUUGUUAAGAAUGAGGGAAUGUGCCAUUAUUGCAAUUCGGGAUCUAUUUAAUUUUAUCUUUCAGUUACUAUGAUUAUGUAUCAAAUUGUAUGAUUCAUUGAUGGGGUGAAAUGUGUGUGCUACCUUUGCUUUGCAUU